This 624-nucleotide ribosomal RNA is filed under the name uncultured bacterium. Its description in RNAcentral is "bacterial SSU rRNA". It matches the Rfam family "Bacterial small subunit ribosomal RNA", at positions 115 to 735 of the family's 1533-position model. The record is from RNAcentral.
GUCUGGGAAACUGCCCGAUGGAGGGGGAUAACUACUGGAAACGGUAGCUAAUACCGCAUAACGUCGCAAGACCAAAGAGGGGGACCUUCGGGCCUCUUGCCAUCGGAUGUGCCCAGAUGGGAUUAGCUAGUAGGUGGGGUAAAGGCUCACCUAGGCGACGAUCCCUAGCUGGUCUGAGAGGAUGACCAGCCACACUGGAACUGAGACACGGUCCAGACUCCUACGGGAGGCAGCAGUGGGGAAUAUUGCACAAUGGGCGCAAGCCUGAUGCAGCCAUGCCGCGUGUAUGAAGAAGGCCUUCGGGUUGUAAAGUACUUUCAGCGGGGAGGAAGGGAGUAAAGUUAAUACCUUUGCUCAUUGACGUUACCCGCAGAAGAAGCACCGGCUAACUCCGUGCCAGCAGCCGCGGUAAUACGGAGGGUGCAAGCGUUAAUCGGAAUUACUGGGCGUAAAGCGCACGCAGGCGGUUUGUUAAGUCAGAUGUGAAAUCCCCGGGCUCAACCUGGGAACUGCAUCUGAUACUGGCAAGCUUGAGUCUCGUAGAGGGGGGUAGAAUUCCAGGUGUAGCGGUGAAAUGCGUAGAGAUCUGGAGGAAUACCGGUGGCGAAGGCGGCCCCCUGGACG